AUUGAACGCUGACGGCAGGCCUAACACAUGCAAGUCGAACGAGUGGCGGACGGGUGAGUAAUGUCUGGGAAACUGCCCGAUGGAGGGGGAUAACUACUGGAAACGGUAGCUAAUACCGCAUACCAUCGGAUGUGCCCAGAUGGGAUUAGCUAGUAGGUGGGGUACAGGCUCACCUAGGCGACGAGCCCUAGCUGGUCUGAGAGUAUGACCAGCCACACUGGAACUGUGACACGGUCCAGACUCCUACGGGAGGCAGCAGUGGGGAAUAUGGAACAAUGGGCGCAAGCCGGAUGCAGCCAUGCCGCGUGUAUGAAGAAGGCCUUCGGGUUGUAAAGUACUUUCAGCGAGGAGGCGUUACUCGCAGAAGAAGCACCGGCUAACUCCGUGCCAGCAGCCGCGGUAAUUC
This 406-nucleotide ribosomal RNA is filed under the name uncultured bacterium. RNAcentral's name for it is "partial 16S ribosomal RNA". It matches the Rfam family "Bacterial small subunit ribosomal RNA", at positions 30 to 526 of the family's 1533-position model. The record is from RNAcentral.